This 365-nucleotide long non-coding RNA is filed under the name Nicotiana benthamiana. RNAcentral's name for it is "long non-coding RNA (NBEN_LNC016431)". Lineage: Eukaryota; Viridiplantae; Streptophyta; Magnoliopsida; Solanales; Solanaceae. The record is from RNAcentral.
AUCAAUCCCAAAAAAUUCAUCAAAAAUGGCGUCGUCUAAAAUCACCAAAUCCAUCACUCGAACUCUCUACGCUUCUCGCCACUACCCUCGCUUCCUCUCCUCUUCCGCUUUAUCUUCGCAGUCAAUAACACAUCCUCCACCUCUUCCAGCCGUCGGAUCAUCACCUCAACCAUUAUUUCCGUCAAUAACAUAUCCUCCACCUCUUCCAGCCGUCGGAUCAUCACCUCAACCAUUAUUUCACCUUUCCCAUUCCCUUCUACCCAAAAACCCUAAUUUCCUCAAACCGUUCAGUCUCAGUUCUGUUAGGUUCAGAGUGAACCGGGCCGGUAACUCCCCUUAUACUCCGGGUACCGGCGAUCGGGUUC